This 76-nucleotide transfer RNA is filed under the name Desulfacinum infernum. RNAcentral's name for it is "tRNA-Lys". It matches the Rfam family "tRNA". From Rfam's summary of the family: Transfer RNA (tRNA) molecules are approximately 80 nucleotides in length. Their secondary structure includes four short double-helical elements and three loops (D, anti-codon, and T loops). The record is from RNAcentral. RNAcentral also lists the same sequence under 7 other names. Lineage: Bacteria; Pseudomonadati; Thermodesulfobacteriota; Syntrophobacteria; Syntrophobacterales; Syntrophobacteraceae.
GGGCCGUUAGCUCAAUGGGUAGAGCAGCUGACUCUUAAUCAGGAGGUUCGGGGUUCGAGUCCCUGACGGCCCACCA